This 452-nucleotide ribosomal RNA is filed under the name uncultured bacterium. RNAcentral's name for it is "SSU rRNA". It matches the Rfam family "Bacterial small subunit ribosomal RNA", at positions 26 to 518 of the family's 1533-position model. The record is from RNAcentral.
AGAGCGAACGCUGGCGGCAUGCUUAACACAUGCAAGUCGCACGGGCAGGGGAAACCCUGUCAGUGGCGGACGGGUGAGUAACGCGUAGGAAUCUAUCUCUGGGUGGGGGACAACCGUGGGAAACUACGGCUAAUACCGCAUGACACCUGAGGGUCAAAGGCGCAAGUCGCCUGGAGAGGAGCCUGCGUACGAUUAGCUUGUUGGUGGGGUAAAGCCUACAAGGCGACGAUCGUUAGCUGGUCUGAGAGGAUGAUCAGCCACAUUGGGACUGAGACACGGGCCCAAACUCCUACGGGAGGCAGCAGUGGGAAUAUUGGACAAGUGGGCGAAAGGCCUGAUCCAGCAAUGCCGCGUGGGUGAAGAAGGUCUUCGGAUUGUAAAGCCCGUUUGACGGGGACGAUGAUGACGGUACCCGUAGAAGAAGCCCCGGCUAACUUCGUGCCAGCAGCCGC